AUUUAUAUUUAUACUUGUAAUAUAUUGUAAAUAAAUGUAUAGUCAAUAGAACAAUUUCAAGGUGAUACACUGAUGUCUAAUAUGCUGAUACUUAUUGUUUUUAGAUUCUGAGCGGAGCGUGUAUUGGUUUUAUAGCAGUAUUUAUUUUAUAUUAUUAUUUUUUUUAAUCAGUGAACAACUUUUCUGUCAGAAAUUUUUUCUC
Molecule: non-coding RNA, 202 nt
Organism: Cinara cedri
Lineage: Eukaryota; Metazoa; Arthropoda; Insecta; Hemiptera; Aphididae
Source: the annotation of a GenBank genome assembly